CACGGUGAACCAUUAAUCGUGUCCUAUACAACUGCCUGCCCAGCUAAUAGUUUGCCGCAGAAAAAUCAAUUACAAGAUCAAUACAAGAAUACAAUACAGAUACCUAUCACAACACAUCACAACACAUCACAACAUCACAAAAGUAAUACACAUCACAACAUCACAAAAUUAAUACACAUUACAACAUCACAACCAAUAGAAUCUCAAUAAUAUAAUCAAUACUAAACAAUCAAAACAGAAUAUACAAAAUAAAUGCAAGUUAUACAAUAAUAUAUAAAUAUAAUAUCAUGUUUUCCUCGCUCGACCUCCUCGACCACGUCGCCUACCACGUCCGCGACCACGACCAACAUCAUGCUCAUCAAAAGGCUCCAA
RNAcentral lists this long non-coding RNA (372 nucleotides) under Ananas comosus (pineapple). RNAcentral's name for it is "long non-coding RNA (ACOM_LNC042585)". The record is from RNAcentral. Lineage: Eukaryota; Viridiplantae; Streptophyta; Magnoliopsida; Poales; Bromeliaceae.